GUCCAGACUCCUACGGGAGGCAGCAGUGGGGAAUAUUGCACAAUGGGGGAAACCCUGAUGCAGCGACGCCGCGUGAGCGAUGAAGUAUUUCGGUAUGUAAAGCUCUAUCAGCAGGGAAGAAGAUGACGGUACCUGACUAAGAAGCCCCGGCUAACUACGUGCCAGCAGCCGCGGUAAUACGUAGGGGGCAAGCGUUAUCCGGAUUUACUGGGUGUAAAGGGAGCGUAGACGGCGAUGCAAGCCAGAUGUGAAAGCCCGGGGCUCAACCCCGGGACUGCAUUUGGAACUGUGUGGCUGGAGUGUCGGAGAGGCAGGCGGAAUUCCUAGUGUAGCGGUGAAAUGCGUAGAUAUUGGGAGGAACACCAGUGGCGAAGGCGGCCUGCUGGACGAUGACUGACGUUGAGGCUCGAAAGCGUGGGGAGCAAACAGGAUUAGAUACCCUUGUA
RNAcentral lists this ribosomal RNA (446 nucleotides) under uncultured bacterium. RNAcentral's name for it is "bacterial SSU rRNA". It matches the Rfam family "Bacterial small subunit ribosomal RNA", at positions 329 to 792 of the family's 1533-position model. The record is from RNAcentral.